Molecule: ribosomal RNA, 439 nt
Filed under: uncultured bacterium
Lineage: Bacteria
Description: partial 16S ribosomal RNA
Rfam family: Bacterial small subunit ribosomal RNA
Source: RNAcentral
CUACGGGUCGCAGCAGUGAGGAAUAUUGCACAAUGGGGGGGACCCUGAUGCAGCAACGCCGCGUGGAGGAUGACGCAUUUCGGUGUGUAAACUCCUUUUAUAUGUCAAGAAAAUGACGGUAGCAUAUGAAUAAGCACCGGCUAACUCCGUGCCAGCAGCCGCGGUAAUACGGAGGGUGCAAGCGUUACUCGGAAUCACUGGGCGUAAAGGACGCGUAGGCGGGUUGGAAAGUCAGGUGUGAAAUCCUACAGCUUAACUGUAGAACUGCACUUGAAACUUCUAAUCUAGAGUAUGGGAGGGGGAGAUGGAAUUAGUGGUGUAGGGGUAAUAUCCGUAGAUAUCACUAGGAAUACCUAAAGCGAAGGCGAUCUCCUGGAACAUUACCGACGCUAAGGCGUGAAAGCGUGGGGAGCAAACAGGAUUAGAUACCCCAGUAGUC